GCGGCGGACGGGUGAGUACACGUGGGUAACCUGCCUGUAAGACUGGGAUAACUCCGGGAAACCGGAGCUAAUACCGGAUAGUUCCUUGAACCGCAUGGUUCAAGGAUGAAAGACGGUUUCGGCUGUCACUUACAGAUGGACCCGCGGCGCAUUAGCUAGUUGGUGAGGUAACGGCUCACCAAGGCGACGAUGCGUAGCCGACCUGAGAGGGUGAUCGGCCACACUGGGACUGAGACACGGCCCAGACUCCUACGGGAGGCAGCAGUGGUCAUAGCUGGUUUCCUG
This 285-nucleotide ribosomal RNA is filed under the name Bacillus sp. SK2.2. RNAcentral describes it as "partial 16S ribosomal RNA". It matches the Rfam family "Bacterial small subunit ribosomal RNA", at positions 95 to 357 of the family's 1533-position model. Lineage: Bacteria; Bacillati; Bacillota; Bacilli; Caryophanales; Bacillaceae. The record is from RNAcentral.